RNAcentral lists this ribosomal RNA (1156 nucleotides) under Aecalus lucidus. RNAcentral describes it as "SSU rRNA". It matches the Rfam family "Eukaryotic small subunit ribosomal RNA", at positions 700 to 1752 of the family's 1831-position model. The record is from RNAcentral. Lineage: Eukaryota; Metazoa; Arthropoda; Insecta; Hemiptera; Machaerotidae.
CUGUCGGUGUUAACUGGCAUGUUCUGUGGAACGUCCUGCCGGUGGCGGUCCGGGCUCUCGUUCUGCGUAGGGUCUCACCCGAAGCAGGGCGAAAAGUUCCGGCCGCCGGUUCAAUCCCGCCACGGUGCUCUUCACCGAGUGUCGAGGUGGGCCGGCACUUUUACUUUGAACAAAUUAGAGUGCUUAAAGCAGGCGGUUUCCGCCUGAAUACUGUGUGCAUGGAAUAAUGGAAUAGGACCUCGGUUCUAUUUUGUUGGUUUUCAGAACCCGAGGUAAUGAUUAAUAGGGACAGGCGGGGGCAUUCGUAUUGCGACGUUAGAGGUGAAAUUCUUGGAUCGUCGCAAGACGAACCUAAGCGAAAGCAUUUGCCAAGUAUGUUCUCGUUAAUCAAGAACGAAAGUUAGAGGUUCGAAGGCGAUCAGAUACCGCCCUAGUUCUAACCAUAAACGAUGCCAGCCAGCGAUCCGCCGAAGUUCCUCCGAUGACUCGGCGGGCAGCUUCCGGGAAACCAAAGCUUUUGGGUUCCGGGGGAAGUAUGGUUGCAAACUGAAACUUAAAGGAAUUGACGGAAGGGCACCACCAGGAGUGGAGCCUGCGGCUUAAUUUGACUCAACACGGGAAACCUCACCAGGCCCGGACACCGGAAGGAUUGACAGAUUGAGAGCUCUUUCUUGAUUCGGUGGGUGGUGGUGCAUGGCCGUUCUUAGUUGGUGGAGCGAUUUGUCUGGUUAAUUCCGAUAACGAACGAGACUCUAGCCUGUUAACUAGGCGAUUUCCGGUACCCACAAUAGUGUUACCGGCGAUUCAAUUUCUUCUUAGAGGGACAGGCGGCUUCUAGCCGCACGAGACUGAGCAAUAACAGGUCUGUAAUGCCCUUAGAUGUUCUGGGCCGCACGCGCGCUACACUGAAGGAAUCAGCGUGUCUUCCCUGGCCGACAGGCCCGGGUAACCCGUUGAACCUCCUUCGUGCUAGGGAUUGGGGCUUGCAAUUGUUCCCCAUGAACGAGGAAUUCCCAGUAAGCGCGAGUCAUAAGCUCGCGUUGAUUACGUCCCUGCCCUUUGUACACACCGCCCGUCGCUACUACUGAUUGAAUGAUUUAGUGAGGUCUUCGGACUAGUGCGCGGCUGUCGAUUUCGGCAGCCGAUGUUGCCGGAA